This 429-nucleotide ribosomal RNA is filed under the name Pseudomonadota bacterium. RNAcentral describes it as "Proteobacteria bacterium partial 16S ribosomal RNA". It matches the Rfam family "Bacterial small subunit ribosomal RNA", at positions 355 to 776 of the family's 1533-position model. Lineage: Bacteria; Pseudomonadati; Pseudomonadota. The record is from RNAcentral.
UGGGGAAUAUUGGACAAUGGGGGGAACCCUGAUCCAGCCAUGCCGCGUGUGUGAAGAAGGCCUUAUGGUUGUAAAGCACUUUAAGCGAGGAGGAGGGUACUGGUAUUAAUACUACCAGCUACUGGACGUUACUCGCAGAAUAAGCACCGGCUAACUCUGUGCCAGCAGCCGCGGUAAUACAGAGGGUGCAAGCGUUAAUCGGAAUUACUGGGCGUAAAGCGCGCGUAGGUGGUUCGUUAAGUUGAAUGUGAAAGCCCCGGGCUCAACCUGGGAACGGCAUCAAAACUGGAGAGCUAGAGUAGGGCAGAGUGUGGUGGAAUUUACUGUGUAGCGGUGAAAUGCGUUGAUAUAGGAAGGGACACCAGUGGCGAGGGCGACCACCUGGGCUCAUACUGACACUGAGGUGCGGAAGCGUGGGGAGCAAACAGG